Molecule: ribosomal RNA, 497 nt
Filed under: uncultured bacterium
Lineage: Bacteria
Description: partial 16S ribosomal RNA
Rfam family: Bacterial small subunit ribosomal RNA
Source: RNAcentral
GAUGAACGCUGGCGGCGUGCCUAAUACAUGCAAGUCGAGCGAACAGAUGAGGAGCUUGCUCCUCUGACGUUAGCGGCGGACGGGUGAGUAACACGUGGAUAACCUACCUAUAAGACUGGGAUAACUUCGGGAAACCGGCGCUAAUACCGGAUAAUAUAUUGAACCGCAUGGUUCAAUAGUGAAAGACGGUUUUGCUGUCACUUCUAGAUGGAUCCGCGCCGCAUUAGCUAGUUGUUAAGGUAACGGCUUACCAAGGCAACGAUGCGUAUCCGACCUGAGGGGGGGAUCGGCCACCCGGGAACGGAGACACGGUCCAGACUCCUACGGGAGGCACCAGUAGGGAAUCUGCCGCAAUGGGCGAGAGCCUGACGCAGCAACGCGGUGCGAGUGAUGAAGGCCCUGGGAUCGUAAAGCCCUGUUAUUAGGGAAGAACCAAUGUGUAAGGAACUAUGCACGUCGUGACGGUACCUAAUCAGAAAGCCACGGCUAACUACGUG